UUCUCUUCCACUGCUUGGUCUUCCUUUUGCCAGAUCUUAUCACUCUGAACAUCUCAUCCUCAGCCACAGGCCUAACCUUGGGCAGAGGCACCUCCCAUUUUCCAGCUUUCUCUUUCCUCUUUUGCUUUAUUGUGUUGCUAAGAAUCUUAGCUCUUGUGGUAGUCUCACGAUCCAUCAGAUAUGCAGGGACAGCACCCUCAUGCACAUCAUCAUCAACCUUGCGCCGGGAUGAUGACUCUUCAUGCAUAGCCAAUGUUUUCUUCAUUUGGGCCUUCUCAGCAUAACGCUUCUUAGCAAACAUCUUACCCUUGAUACCCAAAGCCUUUUGGGCAAUUUGGGAUCGCUUGUGAACUUCACGAGCAUCCUUCUUACGUUUACGCUCAAAGUGAUCAGGGCGACGCCCAAAUCUCUUCCUGUGCAACUCUAUGUAAUCUCCCUGAGGCAUGGCUACG
RNAcentral lists this unclassified non-coding RNA (452 nucleotides) under Hevea brasiliensis (rubber tree). The record is from RNAcentral. Lineage: Eukaryota; Viridiplantae; Streptophyta; Magnoliopsida; Malpighiales; Euphorbiaceae.